AUUUGUUUUUAAGAUAGGAAAAGUAGUAUUUCCCUAACAAUUACCACUCUUUGAAGUUUAUUAUUCUGAGCAUCAUAGGAGAAUGCAAAUUAGUGGUUUUUUAACACACCAAAUAAUUUUAUCUAGAACAAACUCAGGGGGCUAGAAAUUAAUCAGGGAAAGCUCCCUCUGUGGCAAAACAGGAAGAUAAUUCAACUCCUGAGUUAUGAAGUGUAGGGAAAGGGUUAGUGAAACCCUCUCUCCUGCUCUGUAAACAAGUUUGACCUUGGAUUAACUCUCUAGCUGUGUUCUUCCGGAAACCUGAUAAAAGUGGAAUGUCAGUUGUGUUACUAGGCAGCACAGCUUAGGGUAAAUAUGUCCCCUGAUUACAAAGCUGCAUCUGAACUGGGAAAACUAUGAAAGAACUACAAAGACCUGGUGAGAAGUCACAGGCUGGGUUUCCCAAGGUGACUCUCGUCAUUGGUCACAUCAUCUGAGGGGGCUCUGCAAGCUCUGCUCACGGGGUUGUCACAGAACUACAGGCUCCUCUUCAGUUGAGACCCGGAUCUCCGGAGCCAAGGUGACUGCCCCCACUGAGGCGGAUCUCAUCUUCUUGCUCCUACGCUGACACGUGAGAGCCAGUCCCGCCUCUGCACUGCUUGCUGCAAGGCCUCCUGUGAAAGAAAAGCAUCACUUAAGCAAUUGCUAUGGUGAAAACUGAAAGGCUCUAAGCCAUUUUCCAACUUUAAGGAAAUACAAAAUGAAGGCUGGUUUUGGUUUUGAUGUUUCAUUCUAUUCGGAUGGGCCCUAAGUGGGUUUUCCGGAUACUCUCGAUGAACACCCUGCCGUUGGUGGUCCAUGACAGCGUGUGUUGGCUAUUCAGGAAUUACAUCUCCAAUCGAAUUCAAAAUGCCAUUGCCUCUGAGGUCUGCAUGCAUACUCUUGUCAAAACAUAGGAAUCUGGAAGAUACACUUUUCAAGAAAUGGAAGGAAAAGUAUUGUAAGUCUCUUAAAGUACAGCUUUGGAAUGAUGAUGUUUCCAAAAGCCAAAGGCGUAUGCCAGGCAUUCAAGAAGCCAAGUUUUCUGUUGGACAUACUCUUGAGAGUGCUGGAAGGUAUGUAUUCCUCUAGGCUGCAACAGAUGGAAAAACGAAGGCUUUCCAAUAACAGUUAUGAAAGGCAUUCAUCAGGAUUUAGGAGGCAGGGUUGGAAUUUAAUCAAUAAACAUCUCUCUACAUCUCAUACUUGGUUUCUCAAAAACCAGUUUUUCAAAUCAAAUGCUUUUCAACUAAUCUUAGGACAAAUGGGCUAAGAGAGCAAUAGCAGGUGUGACACGGAGGUGCAGCGGAGUUGGGAGGACCGGUACUGUUGUUUCCUUGGUUAAAGCCUCAAGUUACUCAAACCAAAGCAUGCAGAACACAGGGCCACACAGCCUGCUUCCCACAGGCCAGCUCCCUCGCAGAAAUCCCCCCCGAGGAAGGAUGAGAGAAGCGCUCACCCCACGGCUGCGGCUCAGCUUCGCCCAGUAUGUGCCCCAGCUGGGGAUAAAGCAGCUGUGAGCAGGCAGCACAAGCACACGCGGCACCUGAGGGCCACGAGAAGCGGGC
This is a long non-coding RNA of Manis pentadactyla (Chinese pangolin), 1586 nucleotides long. RefSeq lists it as uncharacterized. The record is from RefSeq and is a predicted model, not a curated record. NCBI's taxonomy places the organism in Eukaryota, Metazoa, Chordata, Mammalia, Pholidota, Manidae. The transcript is spliced from 4 exons.